This 71-nucleotide transfer RNA is filed under the name Klebsiella pneumoniae. Its description in RNAcentral is "tRNA-Ala". The stretch from base 5 to 66 matches the Rfam family "tRNA", at positions 6 to 65 of the family's 71-position model. From Rfam's summary of the family: Transfer RNA (tRNA) molecules are approximately 80 nucleotides in length. Their secondary structure includes four short double-helical elements and three loops (D, anti-codon, and T loops). Further hydrogen bonds mediate the characteristic L-shaped molecular structure. tRNAs have two regions of fundamental functional importance: the anti-codon, which is responsible for specific mRNA codon recognition, and the 3' end, to which the tRNAs corresponding amino acid is attached (by aminoacyl-tRNA synthetases). tRNAs cope with the degeneracy of the genetic code in two manners: having more than one tRNA (with a specific anti-codon) for a particular amino acid; and 'wobble' base-pairing, i.e. permitting non-standard base-pairing at the 3rd anti-codon position. The record is from RNAcentral. Lineage: Bacteria; Pseudomonadati; Pseudomonadota; Gammaproteobacteria; Enterobacterales; Enterobacteriaceae.
GAAAUAUAGCUCAGCUGGGAGAGCGCCUGCUUUGCACGCAGGAGGUCUGCGGUUCGAUCCCGCAUAGCUCC